UUAUGAUAGCUCAGGAUAAAUGAAUUUAAAACAAUUUAUUUAAAGUGCCUGCUAUUAUUCCGUUAAUUUAUUAGAUGAAUUACUUGAAAAUUGAAUAACAAAUAAUUUAAAUUUAUUAAACAUCUGUUUAAUUUUUAAUUAGCAAGACGAGCGAAUAUUUUAAACUCCAAGAAAAGAAGUUUCUGGUAAUAAAUUUUUAUAAAUGCAAGAUAAUUAUUCGGUGGAAAAGCAUCAGGUAGAUUUUUUGGAGAGUAAGAUAUAUUGUCAGCACCAUAUGUUCCCUAAAAAAAUAUAUAUCAAAUUAAUAUAGCACAUAUUUAAUCAUGAACGUUGAAGAUGAUGAUCAGAAAAAGAGCAUAGUAUCAUGGAUGAUAAGGAGGACAGUCAUCAUCAGUGAUUCCUAUCAUUUCAAUCUGGUCUCCAAUUAGACGAUAAUUUGGAUCAAAUAUUUGACAGAAUUCAGCAUCAAAACUUAUUCCAGUUUUUAUGACAAACUCUCCCAUUGAUGAUGUUAGUAAUUUGUAUGAGAACUGGAAGAAUGGAUACAUUUAUGCAAGGUGAGAAAAUAAGCUUUCGGAGGAAUGGAUUUGAUACAAUGCAAGACGAACAAAUGCUUUAAAUACUCCAAAAUUUUCGAAUCCAUUAUAUAAUUUAAUAAUUGCAACAUAAUUGUUCGGUGGAAAUACGUCAGGUAAAUUUUCUGAAGACAAAGCUAUGUUCUCAGCAGUAUAGGUUCCCUGAUAAAAAAUAUUUUCAAUUAAAGUUAAUACAUAAUCAAUCUUAAACUUUAAACCUUCAUGAUUUGAUGAGUGAUAAAUUAAACAUUGCAGACAAUCAAUUGUUUUUAUUGAUUUAUUUGUAAAUAAGAUUUUCAUUACUCUAUCUAUUCCAUAAAAAAGAUUUUAUGCAUAAUUAUGCAUUAAAUUUGAUCAUGUUGAACGAUUGAUGACCAUGCACCAUCAAGUUCAUCAAUUCAGUAUCAUAAAUAAUUAUGGUUGGUCAUACAUACAUGGAAGCUUUGCUAGCAGCAGAAAGAAAGCAAUCAUACUAGCAGAUAGACAUCAUCAAGAAAGUGAUUCAAGAUGGAUGAAAAGUAUGUGAAUGAUUAAGAUAAAAAAAUAUAACUUACUGGACUAGGAGGACAGUUGUCACCAUUAAUUCCAAUUUGUUCAAUCUGAUCUCCAAUCAGACGAUAAUUUGGCUCGAAUACUUCACAUAAUCCUGUAUCAAUAUUCAUCCCAGUUGGCAUGAUAUACUCGCCCAUUGAUGAUCCUAGUAACUUAUAUAACAACUGAAAAAGUCAAUACAUUUAUGAAACUCUGCUAGCAGCAGAAAUGAAUCAAUCAGACUAGGAGAUAGACAUCAUCAAGAAAGUGAUUCAAAAUGGAUGAAAAGUAUGUGAAUGAUCAAGAUAAAAAAAUAUAUCUUACUGGACCAGGAGGACAGUUGUCACCAUUAAUUCCAAUUUGUUCAAUCUGAUCUCCAACUACACGAUAAUGUGGCUCGAAUAUUUCACAUAUGUUUAUAUCAAGAGUUACUCCAGUUUUUAAGAUAAACUCUCCCAGUGUUGAUGCUAGUAAAUUGUAUGAUAACUGGAAGAAUAAAUACAUUCAUGAAGACGUUUGAUUAUUGUGAAAUUGGUGAAUAUUCCAGAAUUAUCUUCAUUGACAUAGCUUUCGAAAUAACUAAAAUAUUCAUGGUUGAUUUCGGUAGCCUCAACAUCAUAAAAUACAAUGUCAUAUGAAGACUAGAAAAAAAAUAUGAGGAUUAUCACUCGUUUAUUUUUAGACGGUACAUGAUGAAGUAAAUUUUAAACAAAUAUUAAAAAUACCUCUGCAGUAUUCAAUGGUAUUAAAUACGACAACAAGAUUAGACAAAUUAUAUUCCACAUGGUGAAGGAUUUCAAUCAUCUGGGUAGCAUGGAAAUAGAAAAGCGAUAUUUAAACAAAAUUUCCGGUAUUAUUCUAUCAUAGAAAUUUCGAUAUCAGCAACAAAUCAUUUCUCAUGACUGUGUUAAUAAUUUCUCAUAAUUAUAUAUGUUUUGUCAUAUCAUAUAAAAAUAUUU
Long non-coding RNA from Chelonus insularis, 2065 nucleotides. RefSeq lists it as uncharacterized. The record is from RefSeq and is a predicted model, not a curated record. Lineage: Eukaryota; Metazoa; Arthropoda; Insecta; Hymenoptera; Braconidae. The transcript has 6 exons.